Molecule: non-coding RNA, 3472 nt
Organism: Megalopta genalis
Lineage: Eukaryota; Metazoa; Arthropoda; Insecta; Hymenoptera; Halictidae
Source: RefSeq, a predicted model, not a curated record
AAUAUUAAAGUGUAGUAUAUUGUACUGAAUAUUAAAGUGUAUAAUAUGUUAUACUGAAUAUUAAAGUGCAAUAUAUGUUGUACUAAAAAUUGAGGUAUAAUAUAUUGUACCGAAUAUGAAUAUGACCAGAUGGAUGCCGGAUAUAUCCGGCGCUCGUACCGAAAGGGUUAACGUUUCACGAACAUCUACGCCAAGUUUUGCGAACCGUUCGCUCGCAAUUUAAGACCCGACUGCGCCGCGAUCGCGUGCGUUUUACAUGACGCGUGGUGAUCGAAAUUUUUCUUAUUAAAAUAUCUGUGUAGAACGAGCGAAAUUCGAUCUUGAUUCGUGGCAAUAUUUGCGACUCAUACACUUGAGUGUAUACCAACCCGAUAGUUAAUUUUGUAGAACAGUUUUCGCCGAUGUUCGGCGAAAAGAGCGCGACGAAUAAUUAGCCGGAAGCAAAAGUUUAUUAAGACCGAAGCUCAGUUUACUUCUACAAUCAGCAAAUCUUCUCGGGAGAACUAUCUUAAACAGUGCGCAAAUCUUUAUUGUUCACGAAAUAGUGAAUAUCGGUAGACGAUAUUCGGUAGAACAUUAUUAAUUAUCGUAUGCCGCUUUCCUUCGAAUUCUAUGACAAUUGAUGUUUCUCCUUUCUAGGCGAAAAUAUUGACAACCUUUGAUUCUUGUAUAUAAAAAGUAAAUGUACGGUAGAUAAGCAUUGUUUGUUAACAGAUAAAAUUCAGAAGACGAUCAUGUUUGAGAGGAUGCACUGAAAAUCUUGGAAACGCAUAUCAUUGAGAAGAAGUAAAAAAAUGGUCGUAUUAAUAAUCAUUUAAAAGAAAUCGCAUUGGACAAGUUAAUGUCUAGACGCUCUAUAUUAAUUCAACUAUCAUAAGUAGUUCUCAGAAUCGUAGCCUAAGUUUUCACCACGGCCAUCGAACCACACCAUGUAAAACGACCGUCCCAGGGAUUUCACUUGUUUUUAAGCGGAAAAUAUCACGCUACAUUUUGGCGAUCUUUGUUGUUCUGCGGAUUUCUAGAAUCUGAUUUCUGAUACACCCGAUUGUUAACCUAACGUGGAAUUGAGAGAAAUCUAGAGAUAAUCGCGGAAGACUGUAGAGAGCUCACCUAGCUGUAUCUUCUAUUCAGGCACGGGCAAUCUCUGGCUUUUUCAUUACGGCAUAUCAUUGUUGCCGUGUUGUUUGACGUUUGUUUUUUUUUAUAUCGAAUAGUCGUUUCCUUUUCGCGUAAGAAAAUAAUGUACCGAUUAAUCGGAAACUCGGUACAGUAUAAUUAGACUGUGGAUCUUUAAAAGCAAAAGAGAAAUUUUCUACGUCGAUCCUAGAGAACAUAAGUUAAAUUAAAUGAUAUUUUCUUCUUUAAUAAUUUUGAUAGGUUGAAAAUAGUGUAACAACGUUCGUAAAGUUUUCUAAUAUUUCUACGAUUUUGUAUUUUAAUUAUAUUAUAUUACUUUUUGCCAUAUAUUCGUACAAUCCGCAGGCUAAAUUUAACGUGGCAAACGCGUUUCGCUACACGAAAUCGUCAGUAUUAUUUUUAUCAGUUUGAAAUUGUUUAUAGAUCAUUUCAUUUCAGCACAAUCUCUUGGCUGCUAUCCGAUCGUGCGAUUUAAACAUGAUUUAGAAAUAGAUAAAGUUGAUGUAUAUGAUAGAACGAACUUUUAAGCAGGUCUUUGAAGAUUUACAGAAUUACAUUAACAUGUGAUCAUUAUCUGUUUAUUAUGCGUUAUAAUUAUUAGGUCAUUAAGCAUGAAAUACAUAGAUUUUAUAGUGAAAUUAUAGAGUAAAGUAUGCAAUUCAUACAUAAUGGCCUAAUAAUUCGCAGCUUAAAUCGACGAGCUUCAACGAGAAAGACGGACGCGAGAACACAAAUAAGUUGAACAAAGUUUGAGAAUAUUUGUCCAUUAUUAAUUAUAUUUCGUGUAGUGAAGGCUUGAAUUACUGUCGAAACGAGAUAUUAAAAGAGCGAUUUGGAAAGCGUUCCUUCGUUCGUAUUAAUUGUUUCGUAGAAGCGAGCAAGGACUUUUUAAAUGUUUCGUUAGCUAUCGAAUGAAAUAUAUGGUUAUUAUAGUUUAGUUCACAGCCGAUGACCAUCUAGAUGGAAUCGUGAUGCUGAUUAUUGCUAGUGAUUGCUAAUGAUCUUUGGUAACCAAUGGAUUUGUAAAUAUUGCAUUCCGAAAACCAGUAAAAAAUUAAUCUUUCUUCCAGAUGAUUAUUGUCGAACAGGUCUUUAAAAAGUGAGAAGACAAAAGAAAACAGGAGUGAGAGAGAAAGAGAGAGGAAGAAAGAAACAAUGGGAGACAUAGAGAGAAAAAGAGAGAGAGAGAGAGAAAAAUCGUUGAUAGGCCGUGAAAGGUUGCCUAAGCCUGCUCUACGCUAUUGAACCUUAAUCGUUAUAGUCAUAAAAUUAUUUUGUACUAAGAACUGUUUAUAAUUUUGUAUCUAAUCUCUGUAAAUAUCAAGCAGAUUGUCUAUGGCUAAUGAAGCUUAAACAAAAUCGACAUAAGUAGACUAUGUAAAGGAAUAUAUAAAUAUAUAAAUAUAUAUAUAUAAAUAUAAAUAUAAAUAUAUAGGUAUUUAUAUUUUAAUUAGCGGCUAAGAAAAGCGGACGAGAGGAUGUAAUUAAAUUUCACAUAGGCGAGGACUGGUAAUACACCAAUGUACAACGAUCUAGGAACUAUUUGUAUUAUACAGGUGACAAUUUAAGGGACAAAUCAUUAAAACAAAAAAAAAGUAUACAUGUUACUCGAUAGCCACGUAUGUGUACAGGGCGUCGUCAUCGAAUAUGUAUCUUUUUAAGCUACGAAAGGAAAUUUCUAUGAAAAGUCAGUGUUCCAUUGCGUGCUAACAAUUCGAUGAAUGAUAUUUGUAAAGUGUACUUCUGGAAUUCUUUGUCGUAUUCGAAUUCGAUCGUCCUUCCGUUAAGCGUCGGUAUUAAAUACGAACACAGCAAAACAUCAUUUCCUUAAUUUAUUGUAAAUCAAUAUUUAAAAAAAAGAAAAGAAAACCCUGUACAGUAUUACGGCGUAGAAUGCAAACUAGUCAUUUAUGGCACUCUAUAACGAUUAAAGUGUACCUUCUACGUUCAACGUGACAUGCGAAACGUCUGUAAAAAAAAAAGAAAGAUUUUGUAUGAAGAAAUAUUGAUUGCGCUUCUUUUUCGUUUGUCAUUCGAUUAUGGUUGCUAAUACGAUUGUAUCUUGUUGCACGUAAAACAAACUAACCUUCGGUUUUGCUGCUGUAUUAUGUUCACUUUGAUCAGUCUCUCUCUGAAUGCGAACUACCAUUUAAACAUUACUGCCGGUAAUCUAAGUCUUGUGAAAGAUAAUUCUAUUCAUGUAUCUUAUAUGUAUGUCUCGUAAAAGCGGAAGUACACGUUGUAAGUUCAAGUAUGCGGGAAGCACAACGAUAAAACCUAUUUGUAUCGAACAGUCAAAUGAAAUGAUAUUACAUAUUUCAAUGAAAAUUCAUGA